Molecule: long non-coding RNA, 1649 nt
Organism: Macadamia integrifolia
Lineage: Eukaryota; Viridiplantae; Streptophyta; Magnoliopsida; Proteales; Proteaceae
Exons: 2
Source: RefSeq, a predicted model, not a curated record
UGUAUCUUAAAUUUGCAUUUUCUUCUGAUAUUCAUGUUUUUAUUGUUCCUUCAUUGAUCUUCGGCAUUUAGAUAUUCCCUUGCUUCUGAUUGCUUUCUCUAGUAGUUCAAUGAUAGUUUGCAAUUUUUGUGCUCUGAGAUAUAUUUGCUCUUUUGCAAGAGAGUAUUUCUUCACAGGAAAAUGUAUGAAAUUGAUGUUAGAGUUACUGUGUUGCCUAAGUUGUGAAUUUCGUUCUUUUUAAAAAAUUUGGGAUUUCCACCUGCAAACUGAAACUUGGAACCCUUCUGAGAAAACCCCUAGAGUAAUAGUUAUGAGUUUAAGAAUCUUGCGUCAAACCCAAUAAGUGGAGGAGGAGACCAUCCAAAGGGAGUCUUUCCAAAUAAGACUAGAGUAAGCCCAGAUGCUAUUCUUCUUAACCACAAUUUUCCAAAUCAGUUUGAGGAUGCCAGCAGAAUUGGCCUUUUUGAUCAUUUUCAAACCAAGACCACCCUUCUUAAGGAGGCAAACAGCAGCCCAACUAGUUGGGUGAAGAAAUUUGACUGCUUCAGCCCCUUUCCAAAGAAAAGCACACAGAAGAGAUUCCAUAGCCUCGAUAGUUGAUUGAGGCAGCCCAAAAACUCCGGACCAAUAUAUGUAAGAAGAUUUAAGGUACAGAUCUAAUUAGCUCUAUCUGCCCUCCAUAAUAGAGGAACUUGCGUUUCCAAAGUCGAAGGCUCUUACGAAUAACAUCCGACAUCGGGUGCAAUGGUGAGCGGUCAUUCUAGUAGUGAUCAGUGGCAGCCCCAAAUACUUGACUAGAAGGCAGUCAAGGGAAAAAUCUGUCAUCUCAAGAAAAUAAGCCUUGGUUGCAUUAGAGAACCCUGCGAGGAAUAGGUGGUAUUUGAGAAGGUUGAUCCAAAGACUUGACAUUCAACAUAUUUAGUCCAAUGGAUAAUAAGUUUUGAGACAUGAGACUGUUGAUAGGAAACUAAUUGUCUUGAAGCAAAGUGAGUGGCAAUGCUGAUUGGAAUUCACUAUCCUGGUCCAUCUGGUAUUUUUAUGGUUCUUCAAACGAGAUGGCUUUGCUGGUCUCUGAACUUUGGAAGAUGAUGGUGGGAUUCAAUUAGAAUUCGGGGACAUUGAGAUCAACCAUGAAGAAUACAAGAGAAAUCUUAACGAUUGGAACCAAUUUCAGAAGACAUGUUUCUAUUUUGACACUUACAGGCUAGAGAGGAUGCAAUUAAACAUACCAUAUGAAAUCUAGGUGUCCUACCACUGAUCUGUUGUUCUUUGCCACCUUUUUAAUCGUCCCUAUUUUAGCUUCUGGGCAGUCUACUCUAAAUUAUCAACACAGAGUAAAGGAAGAAAAUGAGAAUCCAGAUUGAGAAAGAUUUUUAUUCAAUAAGCAUCUGUAGCUUUUAUAUUUGUCAUCACAAGCAUUGAUUCUGCAUUGUUGAACUAUCUUGCUUCUUCACCAUUUUUGUUGUAUAGCUUUUCUUCAUAGUUUUAGUGAAAUUUAUUUGCUGUUGCCUACCACCCAAAAAAGAAACAAAGAAAAUGAUGUCUUGCUGCAUUAGUCUGUUCAUAUUUGGUCGAAGUUGUUACAAUUUCCAGUGCCCUUCUCCCUUGUCAGAAACUAAAUCAUGCUGAUAUUUACUUAAUCCGCAAAA